Molecule: RNA transcript, 1271 nt
Organism: Oryza sativa Japonica Group (Japanese rice)
Lineage: Eukaryota; Viridiplantae; Streptophyta; Magnoliopsida; Poales; Poaceae
Gene name: pyridoxine/pyridoxamine 5'-phosphate oxidase 2
Source: RefSeq, a predicted model, not a curated record
AACAUCGGCAAAGCAGAGCAUCCCCGCGUGGCGCUAGCGAGACCGCGUGCGCGGAGGCCGGAGGGGGAGAGGACGAGAGGCGGCGGGCGGCGGAGUAGAUGGCCGGCGGUGGCGCCGCCGCGUCGGCGCUCUCGACCCCAUGGAGGUCGCUGCUGCAGCGAGCGUUGGACGGCAAUGCCCACUUGAAGCACUCCACCUUCUUCCAACUCGCCACGGUGGGUGGCGGCGGCAGGCCGGCGAAUCGCACCGUCGUAUUCAGGGGGUUCCAGGAGCAAUCUGAUAAGAUUCAGAUUAAUACGGAUGCACGAAGCAAUAAGAUUGGUGAGAUCAGGAAUUGCUCCUUUGGUGAGAUAUGUUGGUACUUUACUGACACUUGGGAACAAUUCCGUAUCAGCGGAUUCAUAGAUGUGAUUGAUGGUUCAAACCCCGAACCUGUCAAGCUACAGCUGAGAGAGAGAGCUUGGUUUGGAAGCUCAGUAAAAUCGAGAUUGCAGUACUUGGGACCAUGCCCAGGUCUUCCUAUUCCGGAUGAUGAUCUCAUUAAGGAUGCUCAUCUUGAUCCAUCAGCUGGUCCAGUAGAUGCCUUUUGCCUUCUGGUUCUUGAUCCAGAAAAGGUCGAUUAUUUGAACUUGAAAAGCAAUCAAAGGUUAAUGUUCACAAGAAACCAGAAGGGAGAUGGGACCAACAGUUGGAUGGCCGAAAAAAUUAGCCCAUGACUGUUUGCGGAUUCUAUUGCAGCUCCAAAUUUGUUUGUGGAUUUAUCAUGGUCUACUAGUACCUCUCUUUUCCGAGCAAACUUUAGGGGAACUGUGAUGUGCACUAGGGUUCCCGAUCUUCCAAAAGGUUCUGAUAAACAACGAUUUGGGCGGAGUCACGACACAAAUCGAUCCGGCUUCUUGAACGCGCACGCUCUUGAGCCCCGCAAUCGCAGCACCACGUCUAUCCGAGUUAGUGAUGUCCGCAUCAAACUGCAUAUGUUAUUCGUUAACAGAGGGAGGAAAAAGAGUCAAUACAGUACAAAUAAAUCAGAGAUUAAUGGACAGUGCAAAUAAAUACUACUACUAUAACUCUUGCCUGUACAUAGUCAUUUUUUCUUGUUUCUCUUGAUAUUUUAUGUAUUCCAGUUUCCUUACAGGAAUGUUAAUGCCAUACCAUGGAUGUUGUCCUGGCCUUCUAGGCUUGUUUGUUGUGUCAAUGUCAAGUAAGGUCAUUGUGGUUUUAGGCAUGGCAAACUCUUCUCCCUGCUAUGGGCAUAUGGCCCGGCCCUUUAA